AUCCAGAUGAUGAGACCCGAACAGGACGAAAUGCGCAUACUGGAU
This 45-nucleotide non-coding RNA is filed under the name Trichobilharzia regenti. The record is from RNAcentral. Lineage: Eukaryota; Metazoa; Platyhelminthes; Trematoda; Strigeidida; Schistosomatidae.